UACGGAGGGUGCAAGCGUUAUCCGGAAUCAUUGGGUUUAAAGAGUCUGUAGGCGGCUAGAUAAGUCAGUGGUGAAAGGUUCGGGCUCAACCCGAACAGUGCCAUUGAUACUGUUUAGCUUGAGUUACCCAGAAGCAGAUAGAAUGAGUAGUGUAGCGGUGAAAUGCUUAGAUAUUACUCAGAAUACCGAUUGCGUAGGCAGUCUGCUAGAGGUACACUGACGCUGAGAGACGAAAGCGUGGGUAGCGAACAGG
This 253-nucleotide ribosomal RNA is filed under the name uncultured bacterium. RNAcentral's name for it is "partial 16S ribosomal RNA". It matches the Rfam family "Bacterial small subunit ribosomal RNA", at positions 524 to 776 of the family's 1533-position model. The record is from RNAcentral.